GAUGAAGAACGUAGCGAAAUGCGAUAAGUAGUGUGAAUUGCAGAAUUCAGUGAAUCAUCGAAUCUUUGAACGCACAUUGCGCCCCUUGGUAUUCCAUGGGGCAUGCCUGUUCGAGGGUCAUUUGUACCUUCAAGCUUUGCUUGGUGUUGGGUGUUUGUCUCGCCUUUGCGUGUAGACUCGCCUUAAAAUAAUUGGCAGCCGGCGUAUUGAUUUCGGAGCGCAGUACAUCUCGCGCUUUGCACUCAUAACGACAGCGUCCAAAAGUACAUUUUACACUCUUGACCUCGGAUCAGGUAGGGAUACCCGCUGAACUUAAGCAUAUCAAUAAGCGGAGGA
This 336-nucleotide unclassified non-coding RNA is filed under the name soil metagenome. Its description in RNAcentral is "partial contains 5.8S ribosomal RNA, internal transcribed spacer 2, and large subunit ribosomal RNA". The stretch from base 1 to 120 matches the Rfam family "5.8S ribosomal RNA", at positions 35 to 154 of the family's 154-position model. The record is from RNAcentral.